This 465-nucleotide ribosomal RNA is filed under the name uncultured bacterium. Its description in RNAcentral is "partial 16S ribosomal RNA". It matches the Rfam family "Bacterial small subunit ribosomal RNA", at positions 28 to 507 of the family's 1533-position model. The record is from RNAcentral.
GACAAACGCUGGCGGCGUGCUUAACACAUGCAAGUCGAACGGAAAGGCCCUGCUUGCAGGGUACUCGAGUGGCGAACGGGUGAGUAACACGUGGGUGAUCUGCCCUGCACUUCGGGAUAAGCCUGGGAAACUGGGUCUAAUACCGGAUAGGAGCCAUUUUUAGUGUGAUGGUUGGAAAGUUUUUUCGGUGUAGGAUGAGCUCGCGGCCUAUCAGCUUGUUGGUGGGGCAAUGGCCUACCAAGGCGGCGACGGGUAGCCGGCCUGAGAGGGUGGACGGCCACAUUGGGACUGAGAUACGGCCCAGACUCCUACGGGAGGCAGCAGUGGGGAAUAUUGCACAAUGGGCGCAAGCCUGAUGCAGCGACGCCGCAUGGGGGAUGACGGCCUUCGGGUUGUAAACUCCUUUCGCUAGGGACGAAGCUUUUUGUGACGGUACCUAGAUAAGAAGCACCGGCUAACUACGUG